Molecule: long non-coding RNA, 467 nt
Filed under: Homo sapiens (human)
Lineage: Eukaryota; Metazoa; Chordata; Mammalia; Primates; Hominidae
Description: HSALNT0121482
Source: RNAcentral
AUGCAGAGAUUCUUUUCUGCAGCUCAGACACCAGCCAGAAUAGAACCUGUAAGGUGGUUGGAGCGCUUGUGAUGCUCUCUGUUUUGUGGAUUAGAAGAUGGAGGUACAGAGGCUUGUCAUUUUCCCAGGUUAGUGAUGACGACAUUGGUCUACAUUGCUAGUCUUCAGCUGUGCAGCCACCUUAGACAAAAUUAUAACCCAAAUACUGUAUUUCUGCUUUUCCUUGUGAAUGUCAGUAUAAGCAUACUAGGUGAAAGACUUCAGCUUUAAGAGCUUUGCUAUAAGGAGACUGCCUGUGGCUUGGCGGUGGUUCGGCCUGGAGACCAGCACUGUCUAGAAUACUUCUGAGCUCCUUCUGAAUGAGUAUUUGACUACAUGGAUCGAAACAAGCCAGCUCAGUGGCUCCUAUGCAGGGAUGGAGAUGAUCCAGGCUGGACCAAUCAGCUGGGAACUAAGGGGAAAGGAAA